CGUAAGCAACCUGCCUAUCANAGGGGAAUAACAGUGAGAAAUCAUUGCUAAUACCGCAUAAGCUAGUAGUAUCGCAUGAUAUAGCUAGAAAAGGAGCAAUCCGCUGAUAGAUGGGCUUGCGUCUGAUUAGCUAGUUGGUGGGGUAACGGCCUACCAAGGCGACGAUCAGUAGCCGGACUGAGAGGUUGAACGGCCACAUUGGGACUGAGAUACGGCCCAGACUCCUACGGAAGGCAGCAG
Molecule: ribosomal RNA, 240 nt
Filed under: uncultured bacterium
Lineage: Bacteria
Description: partial 16S ribosomal RNA
Rfam family: Bacterial small subunit ribosomal RNA
Source: RNAcentral